The sequence is a small nucleolar RNA, 133 nucleotides long. Its record names the gene SNORA70. It matches the Rfam family "Small nucleolar RNA SNORA70". Rfam says of the family: snoRNA U70 seems to be exclusive to mammals and is a member of the H/ACA class of snoRNA which contain H (ANANNA) and ACA box motifs. H/ACA box snoRNAs are involved in the conversion of uridines to pseudouridines (5-ribosyluracil) a constituent of structural RNAs (transfer, ribosomal, small nuclear, and small nucleolar). The record is from Ensembl.
ACACAUUGACAUAAGAGUCAUACACUCUUUUCCCCAUGGGGGCCCUGUGUGCAAUGGCUGCAAAGUCGGCCUCCUUGGGAGUGUAUUCAGUCUGUUGCCUGUAUGGGUUGCCCUAAGGGCCUUGGAGGUAGUC